AACGCACAUUGCGCCCGCCAGUAUUCUGGCGGGCAUGCCUGUUCGAGCGUCAUUACAACCCUCGGGCUUCUGCCUGGUGUUGGGGCCCUGCGGCUGCCGCAGGCCCUGAAAAGUAGUGGCGGACCCGCCUGGGCUUCGAGCGCAGUAUCUCAAACCUCGCUCGGCGUACCGGGGCGCUCCGGCCGUUAAAAACCCCUACGGUUUUACAAGGUUGACCUCGGAUCAGGUAGGAAUACCCGCUGAACUUAA
RNAcentral lists this unclassified non-coding RNA (249 nucleotides) under uncultured fungus. RNAcentral describes it as "sequence contains ITS2". The stretch from base 1 to 52 matches the Rfam family "5.8S ribosomal RNA", at positions 103 to 154 of the family's 154-position model. Lineage: Eukaryota; Fungi. The record is from RNAcentral.